This 391-nucleotide ribosomal RNA is filed under the name uncultured bacterium. RNAcentral's name for it is "bacterial SSU rRNA". It matches the Rfam family "Bacterial small subunit ribosomal RNA", at positions 28 to 407 of the family's 1533-position model. The record is from RNAcentral.
GAUGAACGCUGGCGGCGUGCUUAACACAUGCAAGUCGAACGAAGCACUUUGGACAGAUUCUUCGGAUGAAGUCCCUGGUGACUGAGUGGCGGACGGGUGAGUAACGCGUGGGUAACCUGCCUCAUACAGGGGGUUAACAGUUAGAAAUGGCUGCUAAUACCGCAUAAGCGCACAGUACUGCAUGGUACAGUGUGAAAAACUCCGGUGGUAUGAGAUGGACCCGCGUUGGAUUAGCUAGUUGCAGGUAACGCUACAGCGACGAUCCAUAGCCGGCCUGAGAGGGUGACGGCCACAUUGGGACUGAGACACGGGCCCAGACUCCACGGGAGGCAGCAAGUGGGGAAUAUUGCACAAUGGGGGAAACCCUGAAUGCAGCGACGCCGCGUGAGCG